Metopolophium dirhodum (rose-grain aphid) is the source of this 7011-nucleotide long non-coding RNA. RefSeq lists it as uncharacterized. The record is from RefSeq and is a predicted model, not a curated record. NCBI's taxonomy places the organism in Eukaryota, Metazoa, Arthropoda, Insecta, Hemiptera, Aphididae. The transcript has 3 exons.
UUGGUUAUAAAUACCACUAUGGCGUCCAUUUUAUUGUUAGUAUACGUUUAAUGAGCGUAAGAUAUAAUAUCAUAUUAUAAUAUAAAUAUUUUUAUCGUUGUAGUGAAACUUUAUUUUGUUAUUUUAUCAUAAGUCUUAACUUAAAUCUAAACAUUUUUUUGACAACAUCUUACUAAGACAUUUUUCCAGUACAUAAGCUAAUCGUAAGUAUGUUAAUUAAUAAUUUAUAAAUCUAUAAUAUUUUGUAAUCAUAACACAAUUCCCGGAUUUAUGAUCAUAACCAUAAACGGAAUUAUAUUAUUUCACUCGAUUAAAUCGUAAUUUUUGUAGUAGAUACCUAAAAAUGUCUUUUAUAAAUAAUUUAAUUUCCUUUUCGGUUUUUAUUGUUAUAAACUUUGUGUUGUCCAUUAAAGCUGAAGAUUGUGACGCAAUGUCGAAUUUUUUCUUGGAAAAAAAUUUGAUUAUGUUUAACGCAACGGAAUCUGUUGUAUUUCUUCCCACAUUAUUUAAUUAUAAUAAGUUUAGGGAGGCUGAGUGGAAAACACCGACUUGUGUAGAAGGCGAAGAUUGUUAUAUAAGAAACGAAGUUAGUUUUAAUAGUAAAAGAGUACAGUCACUCUCGAAAACUAAUUUGGCCAUAAGUGAUGAAGAAUUAUCCAAUGCCGUUUACAAAAGUCUCGUUGAUAACAAACUGUCAAGCGAUGUACUAAGUGUUUCUCCUGACAGAUACACUGUACGUACAAACGCUAAAAAUUCUAUAGCCUUUUCAUUAGAAUAUGGCGUCAGAUAUAAUAUAUUGAAAACAAAUAAUUGUAUAAACUUCAUGGUUCGAAAUAAAGAAUCCGCGAUAUCAGGGUUGAUUUGCAAAUUUAUGUACACCACUGGUGUACGAUACAACAUUAAAUGUGACAAAGUCAAAUUGUUGUUAAUCCCCAUUGAUGAAAAUGGUUAUGCCCAAUGCGAGACAAUAUGUACAGAUUAAAUAUUGUACUUAAGCCAAACAUUCAUUAACAAUCGCAUUUGUGUAAUAUUAUUUUAUUAAUAGUGUUUAUUAAAAUAUUACAAGUCGAUAAAAUAUAUUUUUUUUUUCAUAAAUAAAUAGUUUAUUAUAAUUUUAUGAUAUUAUUUUUCUAACAAAUAAAUUGAUAAUGUUUAAAUAUGGACCAAGAUAUAAAUAUUAAGUGAAAAUAUUAAUUUAAAUUAUUUUAUAUCAUACUUUUAUACCUAAAUAUAAUAAGCGGCAUCGAUGUAAGUCUAAUAUAGCACCACAAAGCCAAUUUCAAAACAAAAAAAGUUACACUAAGGAAUUUAUAACUUUAUGUUCAAGAUCAAGGAUCAUUAUAUUAUAAUAUACAACAACACUUUCUAUAACAAAUCAUCACUACAGACGCCGAGUCUUGCUUUAUGUAUCACUUCUUUGCAGAUAAGAAUCAACCUUUAUACUCUAAAACCGAUUCUUUGUGAACUUUGUUAACACUAUACAUACGUACACGUCAAUAUAAUUAUGCUCUCGGGCAUUUCAAAAACAUUUUUUGACACAUGUAAUAAUUUUUAAAAGUUCCAAUCAGAUGACACGGCCGGUGUGGUAUCCGUUUUGACGUAUCCGUGUGGUUGUAGUAGGUAGGAGUGGAUUCACACACGGGGGUACAAUUAAUAGAUAUGAAAUAAGGUGGCCGCAAGAGGUAUAAUGAUUAUUUAUUAAAGUAAAAAAAAAACACAGUUUAAUGCGAUCGAACAAACGUCCAGCUUCGUCAGCGGUGGUGCUGCAGUGUAAGGUUGAUUUGAAAAACAAAAAUAAACAACAGUAUGGAGCAAUUUGACGCGUCGUUUUAAAUACCAAAAAAAAAAAAUCAAGAUGAAUAUAACAAAAUAUUAUAUUCAAAACUAACGUCACUUGUGUGCACUUUGGGUCUCAGGAUAUAUCAUAGUAGAGAUAUUUUUUUUUUAAACAGACAAUUUGAAUACCGAAAUUUAUGGGUAAGGUACGGGCGGAGCUCAGGUCGAGUAAGCAUAUAAGAAAAGACAGACCGUUUGACCGUUUCGUACAGGUUCUCCGUCGUGACUUGGUUCCAGUGUGCCCCUCCCGUCUCAGGUGAGCGCGCUCGAGUCGCUGCAGGUGGUUCAAAUGUAUUUUUUCCGGGACAACGUCAUAGAGACGAUCGUUUAAGUCGACAGAGGAAAAUGUUUGGACACUAUUUAAAAUUGCACCAAAAGAGAAUAAUAAAUACGUUUCAGAAUCUAAGACACAGGCACACAGCAGACGAUAUUACGACCUUUUAAAGUCUAAUCGUAAAAGCAAUGAAGCAAAUGAGCUGAGUCAUCAAUAAUGAAAAUAGUACAUAAUAUUUGAUAUUGCAUGAUAGAAAAUAUGUUAAGAAUAUGUGUCCAGCUGUGUUGAUCAGCGUUCUGCAUAUUACAUUUUGUAUUUUUAGUUAUUUUUGAACAUAAUAUUAUGGCCUUGAGUAUAAGUAUAAUAUUAUUUAACGAGUGUUUUUUUUCAAAUAAUAUAUAAUUCUAUGUGUAUCUUGAUUUAUUAUUUACGUAUACGAUAAUACAUAUUUGCAUUAAUUUUAUGAAAUACACAGGUAUAUGAGCUUAUGACUUCUUAUACACAUUACAAGUAUAGGUGCCUAAUUAAAUUGAAAAUGUAUUGUUGAACAUUUGAAAAUUAGACUAUAUAGCUAUUUAAAUAGUCAAUACAUUAUUUAUGCAAUAUACAUAUAACAUAUUUUUAAUGAAUUUAAUUUUUUUUGUCUAUUUUCUUAUAACGAAAUUAAUAAUAAUAUUUGUAUGUUUUUCAAAUUAUCAAUACCUAAGUAUUGUUUCAAUUUUUUUACUUAUAUAGUUAUAUGUUUAUUUUUACUUUAUAAAAUAGUACCUACUCAUUCCUUUUUAUUAUCCAAUCAGCUACUAUAGCUAUUACGUAUAUUACAUGCCCAAAUUUUCCUGAUGGCUAAAAAUUAGUUAUAGAGUUAUCGCAUUUUUAAUUACAUACUAAUUAUAAAUCAUUAUCGAUUAAAAAUUAUAUUUAAUUAUAUAAAUUUAAAAAUAUAAAAAAAAUAUUCUAUUUGGGUAAGUAUGAUAAGUAUUUACUCAUAAAUUAUAAUACGUAUAUACAUAGCUAUAUAUAUCACGUGCAAAAGUAAUAUUAUUUAUAAAAACCUUUUCGAAUCACAGUGGCCCAUGUUGCAGAGAGUCUUUAAAAGAAAAUAUCAUUAUUUAUUCUAAAAUUAAAUUUGUUUGGUAUCUAUUGGUAAAACAAGUUUUUAAUAUAAACUUAUUCGUCCAAGAUUGAAUAAAAUACCAUGGCACUUUAAUUUUGUUUUUAUUCGUUUUAAAUAUUUUCAAUGUACCUAUUUUAAAUGAGAAAAAAUAUGUCCAAUGACUAGAAGUACAUAUUUUCAAAUAUAAUACUGGUUUUUAUACUAGCCCGUCCACGUAUAAGCAUGCGUCAUAGGUAUCAACAACAACUCGUUUGGCGGCUGCCUCUGGUUUUUAAAUAAAACAGAAAUAAUAUUUUUUUUUUUUUUUAAUUAAGAGUUAUCUAUACUCUUGGGAAUAAUCUGCAGUCAUUUUGCGCAGUAUUUUGCUACUCACUACAAUACGUAUAAUUACGAUUGGCCUUCACUCUAUUUGGCCGUAAUGAUAUCUUUCAGGAUUAGUCGAUACCUUUGGUUUUUAAAACAAAAUUUUUAUUUUUAUUUUUCAUUUCGAGUUUAAGCGAAUUGGUGAGGCCAAAUAAGGUGAAACCCUCUGCAGGAGGCAACAAUAACCUCCACCCCAAUAAUAAAGGUUAAGAUAUAUAUGUUUAUUAAACACUUGUGGAUUUAAUAUAAUGUAAAUUAACGUAGUAAUUUUUUGAAAAUUACAAUAACCAAAACUAUUAUUAAUACAUCAUUUAUUUAGGCAAAUCAAUAUAAUAUAAUAAUUGUUGUGAUAUUAAAUAAUAUUAAGUUUGUGAAAAUAUCAAAUUUUAUCGACAGACUAUCGUUGUUUAUUAAUAUUCCGCCCCUCUUUGAUACACGGACACACCUAGUAUUACAUGGGAAACUCAAAGAAGCCAGUUUUUAUAAGAUCAAGCCACUUACGUCCACACACAGUCGUUGAGGAUGAGUAGGGUCGGGAUAUAAAUACGAGUAGAUAGAACAUUUUCAUUUUAGUGUUGUCAGAGACUUGUGAUAUUAAAGAGUUCGUCAUAACAUUUUGCUAAUAUUUUUAAAUUAAAAUUUUUUUCUGCUUUCAACAAUAUCCCAAAUUGACACUUCUGAUGACAAAUAUCGAUUGUGAGGAUACUGUUGGUUGGUAAACACGUGUGUGUAGUUUUGGCAGAUUUUCAAGUGGGCACCCGUAUCUGCCAUGCCCGGGUGGGGGAAGGCGGCACCUUGUUCUCCGGACACCAUGACUUGCCCGAAGAAAAAUUCCACCCGUGAACCGAGGUUUGAACCAGCGCCGGUGUGCAUCACAACCGAAGCCUUAGUCCCCUUAGCCACUCCGUCCCCCUAUCGAUAUAUUAUAAUCGAUAAAUAUUCAUUUAAAUUAUAAUAUUACUAUAUUAGUAAGUUAUCAAAUUUCAACAGCACUGCACAACAACACUCGGCUACUAGUUUAGGUAAGUCCUACCAUAGUACCAUAUUUUGUUUAAAACUGAAGGACCGUAAAUUGUUAAGGAACGGUAUAAAAUAAACAAAACGCCUACUUAGGCUGCUCUGUGAAAGUCGUAAAAACACAGAGUAAUAUACUUCACGCCAUGAUUAUAAUAAUAAUAGAAUAAUAACAAAAAAAUGUCAAUUGAUCUAUAUAAUUCAUAAUACAUAUAAAAUAAUAAUAAUCAUUAUUAUGUUUAUACACAAAAUUGUGAAACUCCAUCGAAAAAGUAAAAUUAAUUGCACAUAAAUAUCGAAAAACAUAAUAACAACGAAUCAGAUACGUCAUAAUAAGUUGGAUCUUAAGUUAAUAUUUUUAAUAAUAGCUAUAUUGCAAUACUACAAUUAUUGGAAGAAUCUUGUACUAGGUACAUCAUAAUUGAAAAUAAUUUAAGAUUAAUAGGUAAAACGUUAAAUGUAAUAGCAUUAAAUUAUAAAUUAUUUGACAAAAAACGUAACCUUGAAUUCUAGAAUUCUUAAAUAAAAUAUAAGACCAUAAUUUUUUAUAAGCUUAUAAUUUUCCACGAACUAAAAUUUUAAAUACAUAUUUUAUUGAUUAUUAAGGCAUAAUCUAUAGGCAUAUGAUUUCAAUAGAAAAGAAAACAGAUGUUUUGAUAAACGUAAUUAUUUUAAUUAUAUUCUAUAGACACAUUAUUUAUGUUAUUCUAUGUUCAAAUACUGAAUAUUUUUUCUAACGUUUAAUAUUACGAUGUAUCAGUCAAAAAGAUAAAUAUUUGUAUAGACAUUUAAAGUUCAAAUUAUAACACAGCAUUAUUAUAUUAUGUUAUGUACUUAUUAUGUGGUGUGUAAGACAUAAUCCCUCACGAGACUGUUAUACUUAGAUUUAUAUUAGAACUUAAACCUCCCAACAUUGAAGAUGAUUUUUGCUUAUAUAACUGUAUUUUUGGGAUCAGUUAUGUCGCAUGUCAAUAAUGUUAAAUAAUCUUUUGAUUUGUCAUAUUCAAAAGAAAUACUAGGUAUUUUCAAAUUAAUUUAAUUAAAUCCUAUUGUAUUACACUAGAAAAAUAAUUAUUAUGAAACAACACUGACUAAAUGUAAAUUUAAAUUUAAAUUUCGAACUAGAAAUAUUUGAUAAAUAAUAUUAAAUGUAUUGAUUUUUGUUAUUAUGUUAUCAAGUUUCACGUUUCAUAUUGUACACAUUAUUCAUUAUCAUUAUAUUCUUAUCGAUAGUAAAAAAAUGUUCAGUAAAAAAAAUAAUAUGUAACUAUAUAGGGAACUAUGUAGAUAACUAUGUAAAAUGUAUAUUUGAAUUGAAUUAUUAUUAUUGUACGACUACAGACAAAUUCACAAACGCCAACUCCCGGGUCAACUCAUGUUCCAAACCGUUUAUUCCAAGCACUUGGGACCUAAUAGAGCGUGAGCAAUGAUUAUAUUAUUUAAAGCUAUAUCUGACAUGUUAAUUAUAUGACUUAACUUCAAAUAUUAUUAACACGGAAAUCGCAUACGUAUCAAUUAUUUAUACUAUAAGGUACAAACACAUGCAUAAAACUAAGCAACAUUUAAAUCGUAAAAUGCAUUUUAAGAAGGAAUAAAUUAAAACACGCGCCAUAAUGCGAUGUAUCUACCAGCAAAACAAUAAUGUUAAGUGAAGAAUAAAUAUCAUUCAUGAAAGGAUGCCGUUCAAAUUAACCGAACCGAUUUACCAAUCUUCUUUUACAUUAUAUGAAUAAAAUAAAAUUCACAAAUAAACUGUCGGUAUAUUGAAAAUGAAAAUAUAGCUAAUAUCACACAAUCUAUUUUGACCCACAGUGUAAAUACAUAAAUUCCGGUCUAUCAAAACUUCGAACAAAACCCGCAGUUCAUAUACUCUCCGUCUCUUCAGUCUUCAUACUUUAUAUUGUUUUAUAUAUUUUUUUUAUAUAUACAUUUAAGAUAAGUAUAAAGUUAGCAUAGAUUUUUAAUUGAUGUGUAUAUUAUUGCUAGUAUUGAAUAAAUGUUUUUGAUAUCCGUGUAAAAUAUGUAUUAUAUUAUGUUUAUUCAUACAGGUACAUUAUUAUCUAUGUAAAUUAUUCUUUUUUAAAAAUUGAAUUCUCAUAAUUAUGUUGAAAAAAAUAUGUGCGUACUUAUCGGCUAGUUUAAACGUUACUAAUUGCGAUCUGGCACAACCUCGCCGAACAGUUCAAGGAAAAAUUCCAUUAAUAUAGGUACUAUUAUUAUAAAUUAUGUACCUAUAGGUACCUAGCUAAUACCAAUGAUAUACAAAUGCUAACCUAACCAGUAUGAUAUACGACCGGAACGAGGCAAAAACUAUACGCCGAUGGUCCAAAAUGUAUAAUAAGAACAUUUGUCUUGUUUGUCACGCCCUACAGUGCGUGUGUAUAAUAUGUAAUAAUAAUAUUAUGAUCUU